UCUUAGUUAUAUAUGACUGGUCCUCCUACGACUAAAUCCAUGCAUGUUCUUAAGUAUUAGGCCACCUUUAUAACUGUGAUAACUGCUCAUGGCUGCAUUACAUCAGCUAUAGUUUAUUAUGAUGAUACUUCGCUACAUGGAUAUCUGUGGAUGUCUAGAGCUCAUACAUGCGUACAAGCCCCGACAUCUUGGAAGGGGUGUAUUUAUAAGAUAUAAACCAACACUUCGGGUCCCUUGGUGAAUCAUAAUGACUUUUCUAAUCGCAUGGCCUUGUGCCGGCGAUGCUUCAUUCAAAUAUCUGCCCUAUCAACUGUCGAUGGUAGGAUAGAGGCCUACCAUGGUUGCAACGGGUAACGGGGAAUAAGGGUUCGAUUCCGGAGAGGGAGCCUGAGAAACGGCUACCACAUCCAAGGAAGGCAGCAGGCGCGCAAAUUACCCAAUCCCGACACGGGGAGGUAGUGACAAUAAAUAACAAUAUAGGGCUUUUAAAGUCUUAUAAUUGGAAUGAGUACAAUUUAAAUCCCUUAA
This 528-nucleotide ribosomal RNA is filed under the name Tilletia caries (wheat bunt fungus). RNAcentral describes it as "SSU rRNA". It matches the Rfam family "Eukaryotic small subunit ribosomal RNA", at positions 32 to 537 of the family's 1831-position model. Lineage: Eukaryota; Fungi; Basidiomycota; Exobasidiomycetes; Tilletiales; Tilletiaceae. The record is from RNAcentral.